This 75-nucleotide transfer RNA is filed under the name Alosa alosa (allis shad). Its description in RNAcentral is "tRNA-OTHER". Lineage: Eukaryota; Metazoa; Chordata; Actinopteri; Clupeiformes; Clupeidae. The record is from RNAcentral.
GUGGUGGUAGCGUAGUGGAUAAGGAGCUGGUCUAGCAAGCCUGAAAAGUUGUGGGUUCAAUUCCCUGCUUCCACC